This 332-nucleotide ribosomal RNA is filed under the name Candidatus Poseidoniia archaeon. RNAcentral's name for it is "partial 23S ribosomal RNA". It matches the Rfam family "Archaeal large subunit ribosomal RNA", at positions 2692 to 2987 of the family's 2987-position model. The record is from RNAcentral. Lineage: Archaea; Methanobacteriati; Thermoplasmatota; Candidatus Poseidoniia.
CUCGUAGCGCGGCGAUGGUGUCGGGGCACCGUUUUGUGCCUGAAGGAAAGGGCCCCUUAGUACGAGAGGAACGGGGGCUCGCAGCCACUAGUUUACCAGUUGUCCGACAGGGCAUUGCUGGGCAGCCACGCUGCAAGGGAUAAGAGCUGAAAGCAUCUAAGCUCGAAACCCACCCCGAGACGAGGCACUUUGACGCCCGUAGAAGACGGGAUGAUAGGACCGGGGUGUACGCACCGAGAAUUAUAGUGGUGCCAGAAACCGCUUCGGUGGCGGAAGGUACCACUUCGAGGUGUUCAGCCCGCCGGUUACUAAGAGUUAUUACUGCUAUCAGG